RNAcentral lists this ribosomal RNA (699 nucleotides) under Shigella sp. RNAcentral's name for it is "partial 16S rRNA". The record is from RNAcentral. Lineage: Bacteria; Pseudomonadati; Pseudomonadota; Gammaproteobacteria; Enterobacterales; Enterobacteriaceae.
GGGGCCGCCUUCGCCACCGGUAUUCCUCCAGAUCUCUACGCAUUUCACCGCUACACCUGGAAUUCUACCCCCCUCUACGAGACUCAAGCUUGCCAGUAUCAGAUGCAGUUCCCAGGUUGAGCCCGGGGAUUUCACAUCUGACUUAACAAACCGCCUGCGUGCGCUUUACGCCCAGUAAUUCCGAUUAACGCUUGCACCCUCCGUAUUACCGCGGCUGCUGGCACGGAGUUAGCCGGUGCUUCUUCUGCGGGUAACGUCAAUGAGCAAAGGUAUUAACUUUACUCCCUUCCUCCCCGCUGAAAGUACUUUACAACCCGAAGGCCUUCUUCAUACACGCGGCAUGGCUGCAUCAGGCUUGCGCCCAUUGUGCAAUAUUCCCCACUGCUGCCUCCCGUAGGAGUCUGGACCGUGUCUCAGUUCCAGUGUGGCUGGUCAUCCUCUCAGACCAGCUAGGGAUCGUCGCCUNGGUGAGCCGUUACCCCACCUACNAGCUAAUCCCAUCUGGGCACAUCCGAUGGCAAGAGGCCCGAAGGUCCCCCUCUUUGGUCUUGCGACGUUAUGCGGUAUUAGCUACCGUUUCCAGUAGUUAUCCCCCUCCAUCAGGCAGUUUCCCAGACAUUACUCACCCGUCCGCCACUCGUCAGCGAAGCAGCAAGCUGCUUCCUGUUACCGUUCGACUUGCAUGUGUUAGGCCUGCCG